Molecule: long non-coding RNA, 384 nt
Organism: Thalassophryne amazonica
Lineage: Eukaryota; Metazoa; Chordata; Actinopteri; Batrachoidiformes; Batrachoididae
Exons: 3
Source: RefSeq, a predicted model, not a curated record
UAACUAAAGUAUUGGAUCAGAGGGCAUUUGGCUACCUUAAGAGAGUCAUAGUUACUCCCGCCAUUUACCCGCGCUUCAUUGAAUUUCUUCACUUUGACAUUCAGGGCACUGGGCAGAAAUCACAUCGCGUCACCACCCGCCGUGGGCCUUCACGAUGCUUUGUUUUAAUUAAACAGUCAGAUUCCCCUGGUCCACACCAAUUCUAAGUCAGCUGCUAGGCACCAGCCGAGGCGACCCGCCACCGCAGAGGGCGUCGGGGGAGGUCCUGGCAGGCACCGUAGCUGGGGAGAUCCGCAAGAAGGGCCCGGUGUGCGUGCAGAGUCGCCGCUGCCGGCCGCCGUACCCAUCCCCCAGACUGUCUUUGAUCAUCCUGGAGCUGAUCAG